UGGGGAAUUUUGGACAAUGGGGGAAACCCUGAUCCAGCCAUCCCGCGUGUGCGAUGAAGGCCUUCGGGUUGUAAAGCACUUUUGGCAGGAAAGAAACGUCAUGGGUUAAUACCCCGUGAAACUGACGGUACCUGCAGAAUAAGCACCGGCUAACUACGUGCCAGCAGCCGCGGUAAUACGUAGGGUGCAAGCGUUAAUCGGAAUUACUGGGCGUAAAGCGUGCGCAGGCGGUUCGGAAAGAAAGAUGUGAAAUCCCAGAGCUCAACUUUGGAACUGCAUUUUUAACUACCGGGAUAGAGUGUGUCAGAGGGAGGUGGAAUUACGCGUGUAGCAGUGAAAUGCGUAGAUAUGCGGAGGAACACCGAUGGCGAAGGCAGCCUCCUGGGAUAACACUGACGCUCAUGCACGAAAGCGUGGGGAGCAAACAGG
Molecule: ribosomal RNA, 429 nt
Filed under: Acidobacteriota bacterium
Lineage: Bacteria; Pseudomonadati; Acidobacteriota
Description: Acidobacteria bacterium partial 16S ribosomal RNA
Rfam family: Bacterial small subunit ribosomal RNA
Source: RNAcentral